Molecule: ribosomal RNA, 433 nt
Filed under: uncultured bacterium
Lineage: Bacteria
Description: partial 16S ribosomal RNA
Rfam family: Bacterial small subunit ribosomal RNA
Source: RNAcentral
AAAGAACGCUGGCGGCAUGCCUAACACAUGCAAGUCGAACGAGACAUUCGGGUCUAGUGGCGCACGGGCGCGUUACGCGACGGAACCUGCCCUUAGGUUCGGAAUAACUCCUCGAAAGGGGUGCUAAUACCGGAUAAUGUCUUCGGACCAAAGAUCUAUCGCCCUUGGAUGGGCCUGCGUUGGAUUAGCCCGCGGCUAGGGUAAAAGCCUACCCAGGCGACGAUCCAUAGCUGGUCUGAGAGGAUGAUCAGCCACGCUGGGACUGAGACACGGCCCAGACUCCUACGGGAGGCAGCAGUGGGGAAUAUUGGACAAUGGGCGAAGGCCUGAUCCAGCAAUGCCGCGUGAGUGAUGAAGGCCUUAGGGUUGUAAAGCUCUAUUACCCGGGAUGAUAAUGACAGUACCGGGAGAAUAAGCACCGGCUAACUCCGUG